RNAcentral lists this ribosomal RNA (423 nucleotides) under uncultured bacterium. RNAcentral describes it as "bacterial SSU rRNA". It matches the Rfam family "Bacterial small subunit ribosomal RNA", at positions 29 to 498 of the family's 1533-position model. The record is from RNAcentral.
AGCGAACGCUGGCGGCAGGCUUAACACAUGCAAGUCGAACGAUCCCUUCGGGGAUAGUGGCGGACGGGUGAGUAACACGUGGGAACGUGCCUUUUGGUUCGGAACAACACAGGGAAACUUGUGCUAAUACCGGAUAAGCCCUUCGGGGAAGGAUUAUCGCCAUUAGAGCGGCCCGCGUCUGAUUAGCUAGUUGGUGAGGUAAAGGCUCACCAAGGCUACGAUCAGUAGCUGGUCUGAGAGGAUGAUCAGCCACACUGGGACUGAGACACGGCCCAGACUCCUACGGGAGGCAGCAGUGGGGAAUCUUGCGCAAUGGGGGAAACCCUGACGCAGCCAUGCCGCGUGAAUGAUGAAGGUCUUAGGAUUGUAAAUUACUUUCAGCGGGGACGGAUAAUGACGGUACCCGCAGAAGAAGCUCCGGCU